CGGGGCUUAAAGUCUUGUAAUUGGAAUGAUGGGAAUUUAAACCUCUUCCAGAGUAUCAAUUGGAGGGCAAGUCUGGUGCCAGCAGCCGCGGUAAUUCCAGCUCCAAUAGCGUAUAUUAAAAUUGUUGCAGUUAAAAAGCUCGUAGUUGAAUUUCUGCUGCAUUGCUUUUGUCCCUCUGGGGUCUGUGCAUGUGGCUUUUUUCGGACGGAGUUUCUUUGUCUGAAUGUUUACUUUGAGAAAAUUAGAGUGCUCAAAGCAGGCUUUCGCCUUGAAUAGUUUAGCAUGGAAUAAUAAAGUAGGACUUUGGUUCUAUUUUGUUGGUUUUAGGUACCAAAGUAAUGGUUAAUAGGAACAGUUGGGGGCAUUCGUAUUUAACUGUCAGAGGUGAAAUUCUUAGAUUUGUUAAAGACGAACUACUGCGAAAGCAUUUGCCAAGGAUGUUUUCAUUAAUCAAGAAC
RNAcentral lists this ribosomal RNA (458 nucleotides) under Theileria annulata. RNAcentral describes it as "SSU rRNA". It matches the Rfam family "Eukaryotic small subunit ribosomal RNA", at positions 486 to 984 of the family's 1831-position model. The record is from RNAcentral. Lineage: Eukaryota; Apicomplexa; Aconoidasida; Piroplasmida; Theileriidae.